GAUGAACGCUAGCGGCAGGCCUAAUACAUGCCAGUCGAACGAGAUUAAGAGGCUUGCUUCUUAUGAAAGUGGCGCACGGGUGCGUAACGCGUAUGCAACCUACCUUAAUCAGGGGGAUAGCCCGAAGAAAUUCGGAUUAAGACCGCAUAAAAACACAGGAUAGCAUUAUCCAAUGUUCAAAUAUUUAUAGGAUUAAGAUGGGCAUGCGUGUCAUUAGCUAGUUGGCGGGGUAACGGCCCACCAAGGCGACGAUGACUAGGGGAUCUGAGAGGAUGACCCCCCGCACUGGUACUGAGACACGGACCAGACUCCUACGGGAGGCAGCAGUAAGGAAUAUUGGUCAAUGGAGGGAACUCUGAACCAGCCAUGCCGCGUGCAGGAAGACAGCCCUCUGGGUCGUAAACUGCUUUUAGUCGGGAAUAAACCUUUCUACGUGUAGGAAGCUGAAUGUACCGAAGGAAUAAGGAGCGGCUAACUCCGUG
Molecule: ribosomal RNA, 482 nt
Filed under: uncultured bacterium
Lineage: Bacteria
Description: partial 16S ribosomal RNA
Rfam family: Bacterial small subunit ribosomal RNA
Source: RNAcentral